AGACACUUGGCUGAGCUGUAGCGUGCAAUUAAAAUGCCAUUACAUGAGAAAACAAAGCAACAACUGCACAGUGGGAUAAGGGAGUUUGAAUAUAAAAGUUAAAUAUAACAUAGUAUCAGAUAAUUCCUACUAUCGCACUCUUUUUUUUCAGAAAAACUUAUACGGCUUUGAUACGACUUUAUACGGAUCUUUUUUACCUUUAACGGAUCAUCGCUAAACUAUGGACAAGAGAAUCUUCGACGAUUACUUGAACUCGGUGGGAUCUGACGAGAGCAUCCUGUCCGUUGCUGACAGGGAAGACAGGGACAGGGAAGUCUUGCAAGGCCAAGAAAAAGCCUACAUGUGCCCGGAAACAGAUGAAGUGCUCGAAGCCUAUGAAGACGUGCAAGUCAAAACCUAAGAAAACCUGCAAGCCCGGUCCUAUUAUGAAUAAUGGAUACCUUAACUUCGUGCGUGCCUAGAAGGAACUGAUUAGAAGGGCGGCCAGAGCCUGGUGCCGUUUAUCCGAGGAAAAAAAAAUAUAUACCGGCGCAUGGCUUGCAAAGUUACAACUAGUGAAAGACAUAAAAGACGCAAAGUGUGCAAUCCUGAAAAAUGCGAGAAAUAUUAGGUGGCUCAUCUAAGUCUUCUUCAAUCAAUCCCCGUCUUCUGGCCCCUGUUAAUUUUGAUGUGCUAUUGGUGGCUCAUCUAAGUCGUCUUCAAUCAAUCCCUGUCUUCUGCCCUCGGCUAAUUUUGAUCUGAAAAAUUAAGGUUUAGGUUUCCAAAACAGUCUAUGGUAUAUUAUUAAUAAAGCAUAAAUUAUUUUUUCGGCCUAAUAAAGUUUUUAUAAUGGGAGGAAAGGGGAUCAACCAAAAUAUACGCAAGAGCAUGCUUUAUGAUGCUAUUAAUCGGA
Molecule: non-coding RNA, 892 nt
Organism: Drosophila bipectinata
Lineage: Eukaryota; Metazoa; Arthropoda; Insecta; Diptera; Drosophilidae
Source: RefSeq, a predicted model, not a curated record